GUGCUGAAGGUGAAAAUGCAACAUGCACAGUAGAAUGCCCAUCACUUUUGGAACCCUCCCACACUGUGUCGAUAAUGUAAAGAAAAGAUGAAGGCUGAGGAAAAAUCUCGAUCUCUCUGUGGCACGUGUCAACAAAUGAAGCAAGGGCAAAAUGUACGUGUCAACAAAUGAAGUAAGGGCAAAAUGACCAAAAGACCAACAAAUGUGUCACGUGUCAAACUCCUAGGUAUUAUUGACUUACAUUAAUGUCACCAGAAAUGGACAAGAUUCUAUUGAAUAUGCUAUCACAAAUAGAAGCUGCAGCCUUACAACUUUGGGCACCUUGGGCUUAUGAAUAAUCAAAUAACAAACAAUACCACAAAAAAAUGAAAACUAUUAAUAAUAAUAAUAAUAAUAAUCAUAAUAAUAAUAAUAAUAAUAAUCUCACAUGAGUCGUAGGAUUUUUUAUUUAAAAAAGGAAGUACUUUUGGGGUGAAUAAAUGGAUAAAAGUAGAAAAUAAUGUAUUAUAUUUUAUCAUUGUUAUUAUUAUUAUUAUUAUUAUAUAGAAUCUAGUUGAAGGCCCUUUUAUGUUGUGAUGAUAGGACCCAAAAAAUUUACGUCAAUAAUUCAAAGGAAAUUGCAAGAACAUCAGGAAAGAAGAGGGC
Molecule: long non-coding RNA, 645 nt
Filed under: Glycine max (soybean)
Lineage: Eukaryota; Viridiplantae; Streptophyta; Magnoliopsida; Fabales; Fabaceae
Description: long non-coding RNA (GMAX_LNC001567)
Source: RNAcentral